This 1466-nucleotide ribosomal RNA is filed under the name Campylobacter jejuni. RNAcentral's name for it is "partial 23S ribosomal RNA". It matches the Rfam family "Bacterial large subunit ribosomal RNA", at positions 17 to 1511 of the family's 2925-position model. The record is from RNAcentral. Lineage: Bacteria; Pseudomonadati; Campylobacterota; Epsilonproteobacteria; Campylobacterales; Campylobacteraceae.
GCGAAUGGUGGAUGCCUUGACUGGUAAAGGCGAUGAAGGACGUACUAGACUGCGAUAAGCUACGGGGAGCUGUCAAGAAGCUUUGAUCCGUAGAUUUCCGAAUGGGGCAACCCAAUGUAUAGAGAUAUACAUUACCUAUAUAGGAGCGAACGAGGGGAAUUGAAACAUCUUAGUACCCUCAGGAAAAGAAAUCAAUAGAGAUUGCGUCAGUAGCGGCGAGCGAAAGCGCAAGAGGGCAAACCCAGUGCUUGCACUGGGGGUUGUAGGACUGCAAUGUGCAAGAGGUAAGUUUAGCAGAACAUUCUGGAAAGUAUAACCAUAGAGGGUGAUAGUCCCGUAUGCGAAAAACAAACCUUAGCUAGCAGUAUCCUGAGUAGGGCGGGACACGAGGAAUCCUGUCUGAAUCCGGGUCGACCACGAUCCAACCCUAAAUACUAAUACCAGAUCGAUAGUGCACAAGUACCGUGAGGGAAAGGUGAAAAGAACUGAGGUGAUCAGAGUGAAAUAGAACCUGAAACCAUUUGCUUACAAUCAUUCAGAGCCCUAUGUAGCAAUACAGGGUGAUGGACUGCCUUUUGCAUAAUGAGCCUGCGAGUUGUGGUGUCUGGCAAGGUUAAGCAAACGCGAAGCCGUAGCGAAAGCGAGUCUGAAUAGGGCGCUUAGUCAGAUGCUGCAGACCCGAAACGAAGUGAUCUAUCCAUGAGCAAGUUGAAGCUAGUGUAAGAACUAGUGGAGGACUGAACCCAUAGGCGUUGAAAAGCCCCGGGAUGACUUGUGGAUAGGGGUGAAAGGCCAAUCAAACUUCGUGAUAGCUGGUUCUCUCCGAAAUAUAUUUAGGUAUAGCGUUGUGUCGUAAUAUAAGGGGGUAGAGCACUGAAUGGGCUAGGGCAUACACCAAUGUACCAAACCCUAUCAAACUCCGAAUACCUUAUAUGUAAUCACAGCAGUCAGGCGGCGAGUGAUAAAAUCCGUCGUCAAGAGGGAAACAACCCAGACUACCAGCUAAGGUCCCUAAAUCUUACUUAAGUGGAAAACGAUGUGAAGUUACUUAAACAACCAGGAGGUUGGCUUAGAAGCAGCCAUCCUUUAAAGAAAGCGUAAUAGCUCACUGGUCUAGUGAUUUUGCGCGGAAAAUAUAACGGGGCUAAAGUAAGUACCGAAGCUGUAGACUUAGUUUACUAAGUGGUAGGAGAGCGUUCUAUUUGCGUCGAAGGUAUACCGGUAAGGAGUGCUGGAGCGAAUAGAAGUGAGCAUGCAGGCAUGAGUAGCGAUAAUUAAUGUGAGAAUCAUUAACGCCGUAAACCCAAGGUUUCCUACGCGAUGCUCGUCAUCGUAGGGUUAGUCGGGUCCUAAGUCGAGUCCGAAAGGGGUAGACGAUGGCAAAUUGGUUAAUAUUCCAAUACCAACAUUAGUGUGCGAUGGAAGGACGCUUAGGGCUAAGGGGGCUAGCGGAUGGAAGUGCUAGU